Molecule: ribosomal RNA, 268 nt
Filed under: Callitettix costalis
Lineage: Eukaryota; Metazoa; Arthropoda; Insecta; Hemiptera; Cercopidae
Description: partial small subunit ribosomal RNA
Rfam family: Eukaryotic small subunit ribosomal RNA
Source: RNAcentral
CGCGCGCUACACUGAAGGAAUCAGCGUGUCUUGCCUUGCCGACAGGCCCGGGUAUCCCGUUGAACCUCCUUCGUGCUAGGGAUUGGGGCUUGCAAUUGUUCUCCAUGAACGAGGAAAUUCCCAGUAAGCCGAGUCAUAAGCUCGCGUAGAUUACGUCCCUGCCCUUUGUACACACCGCCCGUCGCUACUACCGAUUGAAUGAUUUAGUGAGGUCUUCGGACUGGUGCGCGCGAUCGGUUCUGCCGGUCGCCGAUGUUGCCGGAAAGAU